UUUCUCUUCACUUGAAACUGCGUUGCUUUGUUAUUUUUCGUUACCUGUUCGUGAUAAUUCUUGACAGAACGUCGACCAACAGUGGGAUUUGUUUCAAGCGGAGCCGUCUGGAUGGAGUUAAGAGCGGGAAAAGAGCAGCGAAUUUAGGAUGGCGCAUCACGCGCGACGAUAACAGGAUGCUUUACAAGCACAGCAAGCACCUGAGUGGACGAUACAAGAGGUCCGCACAUCACUUUAUCUGGCUCCUCUGUCUUUGGGUUCACCUCCUGCCUCAAGUGGAUGGCUUCUUUAUGUCUGAUGCUAAGGCUGUCCUGCAAGCAUGUGAUGACCACUGGACUUUACAGGGGCAGUGGCGUAUACCUGUGCUCUUUCAAACAACAGUAUGCGUGGACGUAAAGGUCCUUUCCCCAGGCGAGUGGACUGCAUUUAGCUAUGUCUCCGCCCCCGCACCCCGCUAUGAGCUGGCCCUGCAAGGGGAUCAAAACAACCUGUACGCAUGGCUGUUGGGCGUACGCCACCAGUUCACUGUCCAGCUGAACACUCAACGCUGGUACCACAUAUGUCUACGGUGGGAUGCCCCUCAAAAAAGCUUCAGCCUGACAAUAGAUGGGAGCUCUGAAGUAUAUCAGCGGACCGCCAUUGCCAAAGCAAUUCCCCCUUCUGGACGUCUUCUGCUGGGCUGCCAACCAAAUGAGGCCUCACUUAAGGUGAAAAUGGCCACAGUGGAGCUCUACCUUUUCCGCAUAUGGGAUGAUGUAGGAGAGCACAGGGUAUGUGAGGACGGGACCGUGAUUGGUUGGGACUCGCAACUUUGGGCUUUCACACGAUCCCAGGCCAGAGUCCAAGAUAACACGCUUCAAUGUGGCCUAAGGCAUUUGCGUAUGAAACGCGAUGUACAAGGAUCUUCAACCCCAUUCAGCAGUAAGUGCAGUGCAAGUGUGAAUUCACUUCACUGAGUACUAUUGUAGUGUGGUGGUGAGUAACUGUCUUGGGAAAGUUACUUUCCAAGCUAUAAGCUAUAAAUAAAUUAUAGUUGCC
Ctenopharyngodon idella (grass carp) is the source of this 1038-nucleotide long non-coding RNA. RefSeq lists it as uncharacterized. The transcript has 4 exons. The record is from RefSeq and is a predicted model, not a curated record. Lineage: Eukaryota; Metazoa; Chordata; Actinopteri; Cypriniformes; Xenocyprididae.